Long non-coding RNA from Pogoniulus pusillus (Red-fronted tinkerbird), 1231 nucleotides. RefSeq lists it as uncharacterized. The transcript has 2 exons. NCBI's taxonomy places the organism in Eukaryota, Metazoa, Chordata, Aves, Piciformes, Lybiidae. The record is from RefSeq and is a predicted model, not a curated record.
UGGGUGGAAGAAGCGGGAAAGCAGGCAAAAGCUUUGGCGCCUCUCAGUCUACCACAGGCACCAUAAUUGGCCUUGCUUUGCAGCUUGCUUUGUUUGUGAUAAACACAGGUCCUGAUCCUAGGCCUGUGCAGCUUGCCUUUUUGGAGAAACAAUUCAGGAUCGGUUCUAGGGGUGGCUUUAUCUGUUGCUAUUGGUCAAAGACGCUGGUCACAAUGGUUAAAAACAGAGCAAACCUGCUUGUUUGCUGCUGCUGCUGCUUUUGUUGCCUGUUCGCCUUCCGUGCCUCUGCGUGCCACCAGGCGUGCGUAACUGGGGACUUGCCUACGACCGGCAGUCCUGACCCUGCCUGAUCGAGCCGAGGGACUGAAACCAGCUUGCCUCUAGGCCGGGACGCAGCUACCUGCUUGAGCUCAGCCGAGCCCGAAUAUGGGUAACGACCUAGCAACGGCCUAGGCCUAGCAACGAGUUGCGACGCCGGCACCACCCGGCCCGCCGCUCCGGCCCGAGGGCUGACUCCUUGCUAUACACCGCACUCGAUCGGACUGCUCCAGCCCGCAAACCUGGACCCCGCUUUGCCCAAGUGGCUGCUGACCACCCGAUCACUUCCUGAGAGCCUGGGAACACUUCUCUCGUGUCCGUGGGCCUCCUCAGACGACAUGCACCAAGCAGCAAAGCCUGAUCGCAUCAUUACCACGUGAAGUCCACCAGGUGGCCGUGACUCUGUAUUUUCCCUUUAUGCUGUUGGAGCGCAAAUAUCGAGACUCUUAACUAGACAUGGCAUAUCACUGUCUCAAGCAAAAAUUUUUAGCUGAAGUUAAUAUCAAGAAGUGCUUGCUGAUCAAUUUUUUUUUUGAGGACUUCAUUACCCAAUGAUAUGUAAGUAAGCAUGUCCCUUCUUGUGUCAGUAGAACCUAACUAUGAACUAGGAGCCAUAUCCACAUUUCAUGUUAAGUCAUAUGCAAAUUGUAAGCAAAAUUUGAUUUAUCUGCUUUAUAAUCAACAUGAUAGUUCCACAUUGCCAUCACACUGGGUUUUAGGAUUGUAGCAGCGUUAGUGACAAUGAUGUUAGCAUCAGUAUCAUUCUGAUUGUCUCAGAAAUUUUCUGCAUUCUCGUUAGUGUAUUACAUAAAUCUAUUCAAAUAUUAUGGAAGGCUAUAUUAGGUUUGUCUGAUACCACGGAAGAAAAAUGGGAAACACUGAAUAAAAAACAAUUCUUUUUCUUCUGAAGUAG